Molecule: microRNA precursor, 65 nt
Filed under: Oryza sativa Indica Group (long-grained rice)
Lineage: Eukaryota; Viridiplantae; Streptophyta; Magnoliopsida; Poales; Poaceae
Description: pre miRNA MIR2907
Rfam family: MIR2907 microRNA precursor family
Source: RNAcentral
CAGCGCUCCUUCCUCCACCCACUCAGCUGCGACGUGGCAGCUGAGCGUGGGCCCUGGGGUGACGC